Molecule: ribosomal RNA, 471 nt
Filed under: uncultured bacterium
Lineage: Bacteria
Description: bacterial SSU rRNA
Rfam family: Bacterial small subunit ribosomal RNA
Source: RNAcentral
ACGAACGCUGGCGGCGUGCUUAACACAUGCAAGUCGAACGAGUUAUAGCAAUAUAGCUAGUGGCGAACGGGUGAGUAACACGUGACUAAUCUGCCCCGGACUGGGGAAUAACAUCGGGAAACUGAUGCUAAUACCGCAUAUUGAGACUGAAUCGCAUGGUUUGGUCUUGAAAGCUUUGGCGGUCCGGGAUGCGGUCGCGUCCUAUCAGCUUGUUGGCGAGGUAAUGGCUCACCAAGGCGACGAUGGGUAGCUGGUCUGAGAGGAUGAUCAGCCACACUGGGACUGAGAUACGGCCCAGACUCCGACGGGAGGUAGCAGUGAGGAAUAUUGCGCAAUGGACGAAAGUCUGACGCAGCAACGCCGCGUGAAGGAUGAAGGUGCUUUGCAUUGUAAACUUCUGUAAGGAGGGAAGAACCCCCCGCGUUUGGCGGGGCUGACGGUACCUCCAAAGUAAGCACCGGCUAAUUCAGU